UACGAAGGGGGCGAGCGUUGUUCGGAAUUACUGGGCGUAAAGGGCGCGCAGGCGGCCUUAGAAGUCAGAUGUGAAAGCCCCGGGCUCAACCUGGGAAUGGCAUUUGAUACUCUGAGGCUGGAGUACGGGAGAGGAGAGUGGAAUUCCCAGUGUAGAGGUGAAAUUCGUAGAUAUUCGCAAGAACACCAGUGGCGAAGGCGGCUCACUGGCCCGAUACUGACGCUGAGGCACGAAAGCGUGGGGAGCAAACAGG
RNAcentral lists this ribosomal RNA (253 nucleotides) under uncultured bacterium. RNAcentral's name for it is "partial 16S ribosomal RNA". It matches the Rfam family "Bacterial small subunit ribosomal RNA", at positions 524 to 776 of the family's 1533-position model. The record is from RNAcentral.